AGAGUUUGAUCAUGGCUCAGAUUGAACGCUGGCGGUAUGCUUAACACAUGCAAGUCGAACGGUAACAGGAAAAGCUUGCUUUUCGCUGACGAGUGGCGGACGGGUGCGUAAUGCGUAGGAAUCUCCCUAGUAGUGGGGGACAACUCGGAGAAAUUCGAGCUAAUACCGCAUAAGCCCUACGGGGGAAAACGGGGGAUCUUCUGACCUCGUGCUAUUAGAUGAGCCUACGUUAGAUUAGCUUGUUGGUGAGGUAAAAGCUCACCAAGGCGACGAUCUAUAGCUGGUCUGAGAGGAUGAUCAGCCACACUGGGACUGAGACACGGCCCAGACUCCUACGGGAGGCAGCAGUGGGGAAUAUUGGACAAUGGGCGAAAGCCUGAUCCAGCAAUACCGCGUGUGUGAAGAAGGCCUGAGGGUUGUAAAGCACUUUCAAUUGGGAGGAAUACCUAAUGGUUAAUAGCCAUUAGAUUAAC
This 473-nucleotide ribosomal RNA is filed under the name uncultured bacterium. Its description in RNAcentral is "bacterial SSU rRNA". It matches the Rfam family "Bacterial small subunit ribosomal RNA", at positions 8 to 479 of the family's 1533-position model. The record is from RNAcentral.